Long non-coding RNA from Rhagoletis zephyria (snowberry fruit fly), 917 nucleotides. RefSeq lists it as uncharacterized. The record is from RefSeq and is a predicted model, not a curated record. NCBI's taxonomy places the organism in Eukaryota, Metazoa, Arthropoda, Insecta, Diptera, Tephritidae.
GAUAUUGGUCAAAAUAAAAAAAUCACGCUCACGCUCGCAUUGAACUGUAUAUAUGGCUUUACUCUAGUUGUGAAAUUAUGAAACAAUAUAAAAUAAAUAAAAUAUAAGUGAUUUUCUAGGGAAAACAGUAACAAAUUAAUAAUAGCUAAACAAUUUAAACUGAUGUUAAGUGUUUUUGAGGCGUAUGUUUGUGUUGAUUUGUCUAAUACAUAUUAGGGGUCUUCAUCAAAAGUGAUAAACUCUUGAUCAACUUGAUAACGUGAUAAACUUAUCAUUUUGAUAAAUGAACUGUCAAACUUUGUAUGGAAAUCUAUUUAACCAAAGUUUUGUCACUUUAUCAAACAACUUUGGUGGAUAAAUGUAUAAAUGUCAGGAAGAUGCAACCUUUCCAGGUUGCCAGGUAGUCGCUUUUGCUACAUAAAAGCAAAUGAACACAAUGUACGAGGUAAGAAUGAAACGUAACUAGCCAUAUAAGUGAAAUAAUAAACAGUUGUAUGCAAUUAUUAUCCAAGGUGCGUUCAUGAAAAAAGGCAGAUAAACUGAUAAAUUUAAGCAGUUUAUCCCUUUCAUUUAUCACUUUUGUUGAAGACCCCUAGUGUUGUUUACUAAGCAAAUAAAAAACUUUAAUACUAAGUAUCUCUAAAUGUAGAAGGCUCCCGCACCUAAAAGUGCAGGACUCCAGUUUUCCAAUGGUACCACUUUUGAUCUCUAUUCAAAGUGCACCCAAUUUCUCUUUUUUCUUGCACAAUACGUCAAAAAUAUUGUCUGCAUACGCCAAAUCUCAGUAUACCCAGUAAAAAAACUGUGGUGAAAUUUUAGGCAGCAUACAAUUUCUUACAUGCACGGUUGCUUUUCAGCACUAAUGAAAGAAACUUAAGAAAUAGUUGAAAAAAAAUCUAUAAAAUGCAUUAAUUUUU